AACGAACGCUGGCGGCAUGCCUAACACAUGCAAGUCGAACGAGACCGUCGGGCCUAGUGGCGCACCGGUGCGUAACGCGUGGUAACCUGCCCUUAGGUUCGCAAUAACUCCCCGUAAGGGGUCCUAAUAACGGAGAAUGUCAUCGCACCAAAGAUUUUUCGCCGUUGGGUGGGCGCGCGUUGGAUUAGCUAGUUGGUAGGGUAAAAGCCUAUCAAGGCGACGUUGCAUGGCUGGUCUGAGGGGAUGCUCAGCCACAAUGGGACUGAGACCCGGCCCAGACUCCGACGGGAGGGAGCAGUGGGGAAUAUUGGACAAGGGGCGAAAGCCUGAUCCAGCAACGCCGCGUGAGAGAGGAAGGGCUUAGGGUUGUAAAGCUCUUUUAGCCGGGAUGAGAAUGACAGUAAUGGGAGAAUAAGCACCGGCUAACUCCGUG
Molecule: ribosomal RNA, 433 nt
Filed under: uncultured bacterium
Lineage: Bacteria
Description: partial 16S ribosomal RNA
Rfam family: Bacterial small subunit ribosomal RNA
Source: RNAcentral